This is a non-coding RNA of Chlorocebus sabaeus (green monkey), 5356 nucleotides long. The record is from RefSeq and is a predicted model, not a curated record. Lineage: Eukaryota; Metazoa; Chordata; Mammalia; Primates; Cercopithecidae.
GAGGGUCCUGCCGGCGCGCGGGCGUGUUCAUCAGUCGCUGUUUGGGACGCUGGGCGUGCGGUGUUCUGUCUCCGCUCCCGUUUCGCUGUCACAACCCGUUCUUUCCCGGAGCCCGGGACAGGCUGGGCGCGCGCCCGUGUGAGUGAGCGGGACUCAGGGCAGAAGUGUCCCCUCACUGCGUUUUUUUUUCCCUUUUAUCCAAAGAACGGGGCAGUUAGCACGCUUGCCGUCCUGUCGCCCGGUUGGGAGCGGGGUUGGUUUGCGGAGUGGUUCGCCUUUUUUUCUUUAGAACUUGUGAGCCCUUUUUUUCUUCCCUUUUUCUUUUUUUAGGCUCAGUGCUGUCCGGGCUGGUUUCCCCGGUCCCUGACUAACCGCUUUCUGCCCCUUCUGUCGCCACCCCUGCCCAAGGUCGCCCCUCUGCCCUCGCCCCUGUCCCGGGAGGGUGGGAAGCUUUGACCCCGCCCUGCCCACUCGCGUCUCCGCAGCCGUAGCCGCACCUGCCCCAAUAUGAAUAGGGUCAACGACCCACUUAUUUUUAUAAGAGAUAUUAAGCCCGGAAUGAAAAACUUAAAUGUCGUCUUUAUUGUCCUGGAGAUAGGACGCGUGACCAAAACCAAAGACGGCCAUGAAGUGAGAUCGUGCAAAGUAGCAGAUAAAACGGGCAGCAUCACUAUUUCCGUGUGGGAUGAGAUCGGAGGUCUUAUACAGCCAGGGGAUAUUAUUCGGUUGACCAGAGGGUAUGCAUCCAUGUGGAAAGGAUGUCUGACACUUUAUACUGGAAGGGGUGGUGAACUUCAAAAAAUUGGGGAUCUAGGUGCGGUGCAGGCAGCCGCAAUGCGAGAUUCCAUACACUACUACCCUGGUAAUGAUCUCCACCCUGACCUGGAGGAGCCAUCCUCUCUAGGGGUGUAAGAUUUUGUAUGGUUUAUUCAGAAGUGCCAAAUUUCAGUGAACCCAACCCAGAUUAUCGAGGACAGCAGAACAAAGGGGCACAGAGUGAACAGAAGAAUAAUUCCACGAAUAAUAAUAUGGGUACAGGUACAUUUGGACCAGUGGGAAAUGGUGUUCACACUGGCCCUGAAUCAAGGGGACACCAGUUUUCACAUGCUGGCAGAAGCAAUGGCCGGGGACCUAUAAAUCCACAACUACAAGGAACCGCUAGUAAUCAAACAGUGAUGACCACAAUCAGUAAUGGCAGGGACCCUCGGAGAGCCUUUAAAAGAUGACCUAUGCUAAAUACUCACGUGUAGUUUUUAUACUACAUGCCCUACUUGAACACUUACUGCACUUUUAUUUAUUGUUAACUGUGAAAAGUAUGUCCUUUAUUGGGUUUCCUUUUAUAUUCUUGGUUUGUUAAGAAGAAUGGUUUGUUUUUAUAGCAAAACUGUUAAGCUGCUCAAGUCUCCUGUUGAAGAAUGGGAACACUGAAAAGUAGGGGCAUUUAUUUUUAGAGCAAAAAGAUUAUUGGAUAGCCUCUAAAAAACCUGCACCCAUUUCAUGGGUGAGUUACAUCAGCUUUAUAGCCUCUAUGAGUCUAUCUUCUGUAUAAGUUUUGUAAUAUUUAACAUAAGGCUUAAUGGGAGAUGUUCUUUUGUCUUGUAUUCAGAUAUUGCCAACUAAAGCAGUAACUAUCAAAAAACACAAGAACUUGUCAAUGCUAGCAGUAAUUUUUGAGUGUUUGUGGCUCUCAGAAUGAUUGACUUUGUUGAGUGACUACCAUUAAGAUUUUCCAAGGACUGACUCAUCUCAAAUUUUUGUUGUAUUACCAGAAAAACAGAUUCCUUAUCAGAAUGUGGAAUAGAAUGUAAUCUAUAUUUCAACAAGUAAUUUUAAAAGAAAGCUACAUUUAUUUUAGAGUAGUGCUCCUAACAUGUAUUAUCAACUUUGUGGAUUACAUUGGAGGAAAAUUUAAAAGUGGGGCCUUGAAUAUUUAUUUUUUGCAACUACCAUGUUAAAUACUGAAGUAUAAUUUGAGAGAGUUAUAACGUUAUAAUAAACAUUGAUCUGAUCAUUUUUAAAAAAUUGUAAACAUACUGGAGGUGAGUCAAAUUGAAUUAUAUAGUAACAUGCAGUCUUAAGUCCUCGUUACUUAACAGGUACUCAGCCUGGAGUGAAAAUCCUGGGUACUAACUUUGAGAGGGGUGAGUGUGCAUGUUGUCAAAGUUUCUGAACACAGUUCAUGUAGCCUUAUUAGCAAAAGUUUUAAGAAAUAGCUCUAUCAAAGAAACAAUUACAGUUUUAUUCAGAAAUGUAAAGGUGGAAUUUAUGUACAUGUCGUAAGUGGUACCCACUUCCCCUUUUUACUGUAGGGUGGAUAAACUCUUAGGAUUUAACUCUUUGAAUAUUAUCUCUUGAAUAAAGCGUGUGUUAAUGUUAACAAAUGUACCUAAUUUUUGCUCUUUCAAUGACUUACAGUGGAGAGCCAGUACAUCUUUACUACUGUUGUAGUGAUGGUAUCAGCCUUAUGGUUACUUAGCUCUGCAUUUGUUGCUUUGUUUUUUUUCCACUUCAAAUCACAAAAUAAGUAGAUUUUGUUUUCUGAAAACUCCAUAGCAUUUGAAUACAAAAGGUUGUGCCAGUUUGUCCUACUUCAGCGUGUUUAACAAAUAUUUCAGCACACAGUAUGUGUUAGGCACUGUGUGGAAAGUGUUAAGGGUUAGAUAAAAUACCGAAUAAUCUCCACAAGUUUAUUUGUCUUCUAUAGUACUUUUGUAACUGGGGUUACAAAAAUCAUAGAAAUUUUGUUCCUUUAUUCAUAUGCAUAUUCAUGAUUAUAAUUUGGCUUUGUUUGUGAUUAAUGUUUUCUUAAGAUUUUCACAUUACAGAAUACCUCAGAAGAAGUUGUCUAAGGAUUGGGAUAGAGAGUAUGUUUCUUAAAAUUGUGGAUGUUUAGAAUUUUUAAAAAACAAAUUAGUAUAUGAUUGUUUUAUAUAAGUAAGAUAGGAGCAACACUUUAAAUUAUUUGUAGAAGGAUGUGGCAUUAAAGGUGAUUUUAAAAGAAAAGAUUUUGGAGUUUUAGAAAAUUUAAUACUGUCAGGUAUGGAAUGCUGGGCUUCCAAUCCUGGCUUCAUUGUCUCGUCACGUGUGAUGUUGGGUGAGUUUUAUUACACUUGAAAUGUCUCUAAGCCUUAGGUUCCACAACUAUGAAAACAAGUAAGUAUCAAUAUCCUUUCUAGACUUGUUUAAGAUUUCCAUGUAAGUAAUUAUAAUGACUUGCGACACAUAAUAAUGUCAUCUUAUACCCCAACAGUAGGAAAAAAAUGCAGAAUUCAGUAUGAAAGUAUUGUUACCCUUUAAUACAGUGGUCCCCAACCUUUUUGGCACCAGAGACCAGUUUCCUGGAAGACAGUUUUUCCAUGGGAUGGGGGGGAUGGUUUUGGGAUGAAACUAUUUCACUUCAGGUUAUCAGUCAUUAGUUAGAUUUGCAUAAGGAGCGUGCAACCUGAAUCCCUUGCACACGCAGUUCACAGUAGGGUUCGUGCUCCUAUGAGAAUCUAAUGCCACCACUAAUCUGACAGGAGGCGGAGCUCGGUUAGGCUCCCUCGCCUGCCACUCAGCUCCUGCUGGGUAUUCCUGUUCCUAGCAGGCCAGAGUUGAUAUUGAUCUAGCGGUUGUGGACCCCUGUUUAACAAGUUGAGAUUAAAUGGAGAAAGACCUAAGCUUUUACUUCUGGGAUUGACACUUGCUUCAAUAAUGUAACCUUGUUCUGUGUUUUUAUCAUUUAUUAACAGAUUUCUUUUUUCUUAAGGGAAGCCUCCAAAAGCAAAGCAAAGUGAGUUACAAUCCAUAAUGAAUAUUUGCCUUACCAGCCUACUGGAACACACUCAUCAAGAAGUUAAGAGGAAGAAAGUUUUCUGCCUUCCUCCUUCCUGGUGCUCUCAGCUAUCAACUUUGAAAUAAGUUUAAACAACACCUACUGAAAACAAAAACCACUUAAUAUAAAAAUAUCCCUCACCAGAAUUGGGUCCCCCAUAUCGUUUCUACAAAACGGUUCUGGAGUGGAUCAAAGUCUCAUCAGAUCAGCUUGCCCCUUCUUGUUUGGGCAGGUUCUAGGAGAAGUUGCUCUAAUACAGAAACUGAAAGAUAAAAUCCAUAAAGCCAGAUAAUGAUAUUUAGUGGGGAAGGCUACAGUGUGCUUUCCCAUAGGCAUUUAAACACUCAGUUUUUCCUAGUGUACCAAUGCUUUAUACUUUGUCCCUAUAGCCUUUGUAAUUUUAACUUUGAUGACAGUUUAACUUGAGGAUAACCUGAAUAUGUAUAGUAGUGUUUGUCAUUUGUAUUUUUAUCAUUUAACAUUUUAAAUGAAUGUUUAAUUUGCUGGGUUGAGUAAUGCCAAGGGAAUGAUGCUAAAAACAAAUAGAUGUGAGGUUAGUAAAAGAUUGAAGUUACAAUUUAUGAUAGGAGAACUUCUAAAGUAUAGGAAAGUAGGUAAAUGGCCUUAAAUUUUCUCAGAAGGUACAAGUUUUACAUCAGUCUGCGGACAUGUAGCGCUUAACAUUUCAGUUUAGUUACUGAAAUGACAUUUUCUGGUGUCAUUAACAUACUGGCUGUUUGCUCCAAGCCAUUUUAGGCUGAGAAUGACUCUUAAGUUCUUCUAAUGAAUUUCAAAGGUUUCUAGAAACAGCAAACUGAACAUGAUAUGAAAUAGUAACAACAUGGAAUGCCCCCAAAUUCCUCUAACCUUACUGAGUUUACUUGCCCUAUUACUAUUUUUUUUUUUUUUUUUUUUAAGAUCUGUCUCUUGUCUUUGUUUUAUCCCUUACCUGAUGAAAGUCUGAACAUAUCUAGUGGAGAAAGAAGAUCACAGUUCUCUAGUAUGGGCAUUAAGAGAGGGGUACAGGUAGGGGUAGAGGUGAAAACCUGCCUCCACUGGGGUGAUAACCAGUGUGCUGAGGUUUCAGCCAGUGAUUACACUGGGUAAUUAACCAGUCCCAUAUUUCACAAAGGAGUUGUAAUGAUUAACAGUUCAGGUAUGCUUCUGAGGAAAUCUAAUUGUGACCUUUGGAAAAUAGCACUGUUAUGAAUGGUGUGGUGUUAACGCCCUGAGGGAAAAGCUAGAAAAACAUUUUACUUUUCAGGUAUAUUUAAAUUAUAUCCAAAUGUCUCACAGUUUGCUUUACUGGGGACUGCCUGGGUUUGGAAUUCAAAUACUGUAACCAAAUUACUCCAUGUUUCUGAACUAAAAUGAUCUAUUGAUGUUUCUCAAAGUAUAGAUCACAGAUAGGAAAAGAGGAAAUCAAGUCUGGUUUAUGACAAACGAUUUUCCAUGUUAACAUUAGACCCAAAGAUGUUACUAAGGGCUUUUUACUACUGUGAGAUAACCAGCAUGAUGUGAAGACACCGAACAUUUUAAGAA